AACGAACGCUGGCGGCAUGCCUAACACAUGCAAGUCGAACGAGAUCUUCGGAUCUAGUGGCGCACGGGUGCGUAACGCGUGGGAAUCUGCCCUUUGCUUCGGAAUAACAGUUAGAAAUGACUGCUAAUACCGGAUGAUGUCUUCGGACCAAAGAUUUAUCGGCAAAGGAUGAGCCCGCGUAGGAUUAGGUAGUUGGUGGGGUAAAGGCCUACCAAGCCGACGAUCCUUAGCUGGUCUGAGAGGAUGAUCAGCCACACUGGGACUGAGACACGGCCCAGACUCCUACGGAGGCAGCAGUGGGAAUAUUGGACAAUGGGCGAAAGCCUGAUCCAGCAAUGCCGCGUGAGUGAUGAAGGCC
This 358-nucleotide ribosomal RNA is filed under the name uncultured bacterium. Its description in RNAcentral is "bacterial SSU rRNA". It matches the Rfam family "Bacterial small subunit ribosomal RNA", at positions 29 to 416 of the family's 1533-position model. The record is from RNAcentral.